GAUGAACGCUGGCGGCGUGCCUAAUACAUGCAAGUCGAGCGAACAGACGAGGAGCUUGCUCCUCUGACGUUAGCGGCGGACGGGUGAGUAACACGUGGAUAACCUACCUAUAAGACUGGGAUAACUUCGGGAAACCGGAGCUAAUACCGGAUAAUAUAUUGAACCGCAUGGUUCAAUAGUGAAAGACGGUUUUGCUGUCACUUAUAGAUGGAUCCGCGCCGCAUUAGCUAGUUGGUAAGGUAACGGCUUACCAAGGCAACGAUGCGUAGCCGACCUGAGAGGGGGAUCGGCCACACUGGAACUGAGACACGGUCCAGACUCCUACGGGAGGCAGCAGUAGGGAAUCUUCCGCAAUGGGCGAAAGCCUGACGGAGCAACGCCGCGUGAGUGAUGAAGGGCUUCGGAUCGUAAAAACUCUGUUAUUAGGGAAGAACAAAUGUGUAAGUAACUAUGCACGUCUUGACGGUACCUAAUCAGAAAGCCACGGCUAACUACGUG
Molecule: ribosomal RNA, 498 nt
Filed under: uncultured bacterium
Lineage: Bacteria
Description: partial 16S ribosomal RNA
Rfam family: Bacterial small subunit ribosomal RNA
Source: RNAcentral